RNAcentral lists this long non-coding RNA (999 nucleotides) under Homo sapiens (human). RNAcentral describes it as "non-protein coding lnc-DCLRE1C-1:3". Lineage: Eukaryota; Metazoa; Chordata; Mammalia; Primates; Hominidae. The record is from RNAcentral.
AAGCGCGAGGAGCGGGGCGGGGCGAGCGCGCGUGCUCCCGGAUCCUCGGCAGUGUCCGGCGCCCCCUUCCCUUCGCCAGGCCCGUUUGGCGCCUUCACUCGGGAAGACGUCGGCCAGGACUUUGCGCUUUGGAGACGUCUUACUUCGGCAGCACUCGCACACUGCGAGAUCCGACACGGGCAGCGGGGACCUAGGGAGCCGGGGACGCUGCCUGUCGGGUACGGUUCCGCAGCUACCGCAGCCCCGUGGGCCAUGGUUAGUCUCCCCCCGACACCGCUCCCUCUAGAGCUCCGGGCUUCGGAAGCGGCUGCACGUGGGCAUGGCUGGAGAGGUUCCGCUGGCUUGGGGCAGUCGCCGGGAUUCCGACUGGUUGGUGUGGGGUGUGGCCUGUGCUAUCCAGCUCCCAGCUGAUCCUAAUGUGCGGCACAGCGGAAACCACCGGUCCACAUCAGUGCUUCUCACUUAAAGGGGCUUACGAAUCGUCGGGGGUGGGGGAGCUGGACUUGGAAUUUUUUAAGAGAUGAGGUCUCACUCUGUCACCCAGGCUGGAGUGCAGUGGCGCGAUUACGGCUCACUGCAGACUAGACCUCCUGGGCUCAACUUUAAUGUAAAUUGGGAUUGGGUAGGUCUGUAAGGGGACCCGAGCUCCCCUCCCAUGUUGUUGCCAAGCUCCUGAGCUCGGCCUGGUGGCGGGUGGGGGCCGGGAGGAGAAGGACACGUUAGUAAGGAAGCUGCAGGACGACUCCAGGGGCCUCCCACCUGGUCUCCACCCCCCUCCCCCACCCAUUCUUGACGCUGCAUCCAUGAUUGUUCUAAACAACCUAAAGCAGAAAUCUUAGAGCAAAUAACGAAAACUGGCAGAAGGCCAUUUGAUAUCUCCUUAAAAAAUUCAUGUAAAAAAUUACAUAAACGUUUCAAAGCAGUAUGUAUAAAUUUGAAAUACUGGAAAUGAACGCAGACCAUUAAAGGAAUAGUUAAUUAUUUGAUUCCAUUAUGAAA